UUUUAUUUCUUAGAUCCUUAUAUUUCGGACUGGGCUCUUUUUAUUGUAUAUUUCCCUUCAUUUUUGGGCCCAAGCCCAUUCAAUUCCGGGCCCAGCUCGUUACUCUUGAAACCCAGCCCCUUAAUUUACCUUAAACAACAUCGUUUUUGGUCGUGUGCCCUUAGGGCUUCUUCUCUUUUCUUCUCCCCUGUUUCUUGCAAUGUCCACUUCCUUUCUCUUCUUCUUCAUUUUUGUUCUUCUUUCCCUGUAGCCAAACGACUCCUUCUUCCUCUCUUGUGCCGCCGUUCCUUCCACCUUCUUCUUUGCAUUAGCUUGCAUUUAUUUUAUCUUGCAUUUGUUUCUUAUUUUUGCUGUAAAACGAAACCUCUCUCUUCUCUUUUGUUGCAUUUUUAUUUCAUGGGUUUCUCACCAUUGUUGCAGGUUUGGCCAAAGCUUUUGUGCACCUCUUUCCUCUUCUUCUUUUCUUAUGUAUUUCUUGUUAUUGUGGUGUAGAAACCCUUGCUUUUCUCUUAUUUUUCCCCUUGAAUCGUGACCUAUUUUGGCCCCUUAUUUUGUGCUCUGUUUUGCCUCCAAACGCGAAGCUUGAUGCUCCAUUUUCCUCUUUUCUUUCUCUAGUAUUUUAAUGUGCUAGAUUUUGGGGAAAACCUUGCAUAUUUUUGGGUGUUUUGGCCUCAAAACCGAGCCUUUUUUUAGCUCCAUUUUUAGUGCCCUGUUUAGCCCAAUCCGUGAGCUUCACUUUGGGUUUUUCUUGGUUAUUUUCCUCUGCCAUGAACCUUGUCUUCCAGUCACAACAUUCUGAUUUUAUCCUAGUAAAUCAGUCCUUUGUUACCCAAAAAUAUUACUCCAAAUCCCCUUGUUUUCGAAACCUAUUUUAGUCUCCAAAACGAUAAUUUUUGGUGGUUUAUUUUCGAGAUAGUUUUUGGGAGUUAAAUCGGGUGCGUGAUCUUUCAUAAAUAUUGGCUUUAAAGCGCUAUUUUGAUGCAGAUGAUGAGGAGACUGAGAUUGAGGAGAUGGCUCUGCUGGAGGUAUGAUUUGGUGCCAUUUGCUUGUAUAUUGGGAAUUGUUAUCCCGCUUUUGAAUUAUGUCUUUUGGCUUAUAUUAUGCUUUGCUGAUUAACUGUAGUAUUUUGGUACGCUUGUGUUUAAGCAAAUUUGCAUUAAACAAUUUUGGUACUUA
Molecule: long non-coding RNA, 1176 nt
Organism: Carya illinoinensis
Lineage: Eukaryota; Viridiplantae; Streptophyta; Magnoliopsida; Fagales; Juglandaceae
Exons: 2
Source: RefSeq, a predicted model, not a curated record